GGACAGAUAUGAUAUGGGUUGGAGCUAAGAUUCAAUAGAAAUUUACCCUACUUUGUGUUUUAUCCUUACAGAUAUGUUUGAAUUAGUGAUAUGAGGUUGAAUGAAGUGAAAUAUUAAUUAUAGGAUUCCAUAUAUGUACUAGAAAGAAGAUUACACUUCACAAGAAUGUAAACUUUUGAUCUAGUGUUUGUUAGAGUACAUUAAAAAGAAAGAAGAUUACACUUCACAUGAAUCAUAUUGUUAUGAAUUACACUCCCCCAUCAUAUCAGUUAUGAUUGAUUUACAAUGUAUAGUUGAAAAUGGCAUCAAGGAAUUGCAUUUGGAUUUUCCUACAGGUUUCUAAACAGGGUUGGCAUUAAGUUGCCUUCUUCAUUUUCUUGCGUUCUGAAAGGGUAUGAACCCUUUUAUAAGAACAAAGAAUAACAAAAUAACAAUGGAUGUGAUGGAACCUUGUACUGAUAUGAUUAAUUGAGUGAAUAGAACAAGAAUUGUUUAAUGUAAAUUAAGCAAAAGAGGACAGAAUCCUUUUAGGGAAAAAGCAGGAAAAGUGCAGUAGAAAAUCUGCAAGAGCAGUACAGGAAAAAAGGAAAUAAUGCAGAAUUCAGAGUCUCAGAGAGAGAGGCCUUGAGCUGUCAUAUUCCACACCCUCUCCUAGUGAAAAUCACUCUAUUUAAUCAAAUUUUUUGUUACGCUUUCUUUCUUUGUUGCUCCUUCUUAGUCCCUUGAUUUUUUUUUUUGAACAAUCUUCUUAGUCCCUUGAUGAUAGGAGGAACACGCACCAUCUGUCCUCUAGACCCAUGUGCUUCAACUGGUUUAUUCUCCCUUGGUUUAUUCUCCCUUGAUGGUGUAUCCUCUGAAAAGUGAAAUACUAACUAGUUAAAAAAAAAAAUCCUAGUUAACUUAGCUAGCUGCAGUAACAGAAUUCAAAUAUACCAUUAACCAAUGGACACAAACAAUUUUUCUGUACUAGGGAAACGAGAUAAUAUGCAACACUUUUUACAUGAGGGGAACCUUAAAACUGACCAUUCUAGAACCUGGGUGUACCUUUCCGUAAAUAAAUCAAAAGCCAUGCUC
This 1074-nucleotide long non-coding RNA is filed under the name Medicago truncatula (barrel medic). RNAcentral's name for it is "long non-coding RNA (MTRU_LNC002424)". The record is from RNAcentral. Lineage: Eukaryota; Viridiplantae; Streptophyta; Magnoliopsida; Fabales; Fabaceae.